Gasterosteus aculeatus aculeatus (three-spined stickleback) is the source of this 788-nucleotide non-coding RNA. Lineage: Eukaryota; Metazoa; Chordata; Actinopteri; Perciformes; Gasterosteidae. The record is from RefSeq and is a predicted model, not a curated record.
GACAGUUCUCACCAGACCACGAAGACAGACCACCAUCAAUAGGAGCACGUUCAACCGUUUUGCAAAUGGAUGCUGAUGCAAUCCGGCAUGAAUUCAUACUCUUAGAUGAGGCUGAGUUUAACCUGACAAAGGUUAGAAGAAGAGGGAGAAACCUCAUCGGCCACAUGGCAUUGUCACACCAGAAGACCAGAUAGAGGCAGAGCAGAUGAGAUACGUUGUCAUCGGGGACCAUGUAUCUUUUCACUGAUCUGCUCUGGUCCAAAACUAGUUUCAACAGCACCCAUCAUUUUCAGUUCAGUACCUUCCACCAAACUCUCCCUUCCUUAACCCCAUUGAGGAGUUUCUCUCUGCAUGGUGGUGGAAGGUUUACGAUCUCCAGCCCCAUGUCAGGAUACCCCUCAUUCAAGCCAUGGAGGAGGUGUGCAACCAGACUGAUGCAGGGUCAGUGCAAGGAUGGAUUCGCCAUUCAAGAAGAUUCUUCCCUCGCUGUCUGGCGAGAGAGAACGUAGCCUGCGAUGUGGACGAAGAGCGACGGCCCGAUCCAGCUAGGCGAAGAGAUGAUGCCUAGGAAUGAUUUUUUCUGUAUUUCAUUUGCUGUAUGCUUUCUUUUGUGUCCACAAAUGGAUUUGCUGUGUUUACAGUAUUCAACUUGAAAUCUGUAUUUUCUGUUUCGAGGUGUUCUGCUUCUUGUCUGUCUAGUUGUGUGAAUCGUGUUGUGUUUUGGCAACUUGAGCCCAGUUUUCAAAAUUGUGCUUAAGCAGAUGGAAUAAAACUGUAAACAGGGAAAA